RNAcentral lists this ribosomal RNA (253 nucleotides) under uncultured bacterium. RNAcentral describes it as "partial 16S ribosomal RNA". It matches the Rfam family "Bacterial small subunit ribosomal RNA", at positions 524 to 776 of the family's 1533-position model. The record is from RNAcentral.
UACGUAGGGGGCAAGCGUUGUCCGGAGUUACUGGGCGUAAAGCGCACGCAGGCGGUCUGGUAAGUUUGGAGUGACAGUCAUCGGCUUAACUGAUGAAGUGCUUCGAAAACUGCCCGACUUGAGGGCUUCAGAGGGACACGGAAUUCCGGGUGUAGUGGUGAAAUGCGUAGAUAUCCGGAGGAACACCAAAGGCGUAGGCAGUGUCCUGGGAAGUUCCUGACGCUCAGGUGCGAAAGCUAGGGGAGCGAACGGG